AUGGUGCUGGGACAACCAAGAAGUUGCACUUCAUCUUGGCUAGAAGCAAGGAGACCAAUUUAUUUCGCUACCUCGGUGCUAACUGUUUCCAUUGACAUCCAGAUCUGCUCUGACCAAGCAACUGUGACAAGUGGUUUAUUGAACUGUAAACGGGCACUGUCUGACUCUAAACAAUGGCUUUAUCUAAUUAUGAAGCCCCAUGCACCAUUUCGGUCCAGUGUUGUUCGUUAUACAAACAAGAUUUUAAUGUCAUUGGAAAAUUAAUUUAAGUCUGGCUUCACCUUGCUACAGUGAAAGGUAGUCUGCAUUGUGACUUUAUAAGCUGGUGGCUCGCAUCUGAAGGGAGCUGACUGGGAUGUUCUGACUGGAGUUUGUUGGACUAUGAAUACUUGAGAGGGCAAAAGUGAACUGCUUAGAAGAACAUCUAAAGGAAAGCGAAUAACUGAACAAAAUCUAUUGCUUAUGCUUUAAAUGAAUCUGAUAUUAUCAAGAUGAUUUUUUAAGAAUAACAUUGAUAGAAGAAAUAUAGGUGUACUUGUAGAAAGGAAAAUUGGAUCCUCAAGAAGAAGCUAACUGUGAGGCUUGGAACUACUAGCAGAAAUUGAAUAGGCCCACUUGAAAAGAACACCAUUAUUGUACCUAUUGCUUUGUCAGAAGAUAGUUGAUUUCAAUCAAAGCUUUUGUUUUCACCUGUCAGUAAGUCAGCUUCUUCAAGAACAUUCACCCAUAACCACAGAAAAAAUUCAGAGGGUUGACUUUAUUGCUGUAGGAAAAAAAAAAUAAAAAAUAUGGGACCAUAUGUGUAUAUUGCA
RNAcentral lists this long non-coding RNA (812 nucleotides) under Parus major (Great Tit). RNAcentral describes it as "lncRNA (ENSPMJG00000019351.1)". The record is from RNAcentral. Lineage: Eukaryota; Metazoa; Chordata; Aves; Passeriformes; Paridae.